This 452-nucleotide ribosomal RNA is filed under the name uncultured bacterium. RNAcentral describes it as "bacterial SSU rRNA". It matches the Rfam family "Bacterial small subunit ribosomal RNA", at positions 30 to 490 of the family's 1533-position model. The record is from RNAcentral.
AUUGAACGCUGGCGGCAUGCCUUACACAUGCAAGUCGAACGAGAACGGAUUAUAGCUUGCUAUAAUUGUCAGCUAAGUGGCGCACGGGUGAGUAAUAUAUAGAUAACCUGCCCUCUAGAAAGGAAUAACAGUUGGAAACGACUGCUAAUGCCCUAUAUGCCUUUAAUACAUAAGUAUGCAAGGGAAACGCUUUAGUGCUAGAGGAUGGGUCUGUAUGGUAUCAGCUUGUUGGUGAGGUAAUGGCUCACCAAGGCUAUGACGCCUAACUGGUUUGAGAGGAUGAUCAGUCACACUGGAACUGAGACACGGUCCAGACUCCUACGGGAGGCAGCAGUGGGGAAUAUUGCACAAUGGACGAAAGUCUGAUGCAGCAACGCCGCGUGGAGGAUGACACAUUUCGGUGCGUAAACUCCUUUUAUAUAGGAAGAUAAUGACGGUACUAUAUGAAUAAG